GCUAGCGGCAGGCUUAACACAUGCAAGCCGAACGGUAAGGCCCAGCUUGCUGGGCACACGAGUGGCGCACGGGUGAGUAACGCGUAUGCAACCUACCUUCAACUGGGGGAUAGCCCCGAGAAAUUGGGAUUAAUACCCCAUAAAAUAUCGAUUUCGCAUGUUAUCGGUAUUAAAGCCCCGGUGGUUGGAGAUGGGCAUGCGUGGCAUUAGUUAGUUGGUGGGGUAACGGCCCACCAAGGCGUCGAUGCCUAGGGGUUCUGAGAGGAUAGUCCCCCACACUGGUACUGAGACACGGACCAGACCCCUACGGGAGGCAGCAGUGAGGAAUAUUGGUCAAUGGGUGAGAGCCUGAACCAGCCAUGCCGCGUGCAGGAAUGACGGCCCUAUGGGUUGUAAACUGCUUUUCCUGGGGAAGAACCGCCCGGAUUAUUUCGGGUCUGACGGUACCCGGGGAAUAAGCACCGGCUAACUCCGUGCCAGCAGCCGCGGUAAUACGGAGGGUGCAAGCGUUAUCCGGAUUUAUUGGGUUUAAAGGGUGCGUAGGCGGGCCGGCAAGUCAGUGGUGAAACCCCGCAGCUCAACUGCGGAACUGCCAUUGAAACUACCAGCCUCGAGUACGGUUGAAGUGGGUGGAAUGUGUCAUGUAGCGGUGAAAUGCAUAGAUAUGACACAGAACGCCGAUAGCGGAGGCAGCUCACUAAACCGAGACUGACGCUGAGGCACGAAAGCGUGGGUAGCGAACAGGAUUAGAUACCCUGGUAGUCCACGCCGUAAACGAUGAUAACUCGAUGUGUGCGAUAUACAGUACGCGUCCAAGCGAAAGUGAUAAGUUAUCCACCUGGGGAGUACGUCCGCAAGGAUGAAACUCAAAGGAAUUGACGGGGGCCCGCACAAGCGGUGGAGCAUGUGGUUUAAUUCGAUGCAACGCGAAGAACCUUACCAGCCCUUGACAUCCUCGGAACUUGGCAGAGAUGCCUUGGUGCCUUCGGGAGCCGAGAGACAGGUGCUGCAUGGCUGUCGUCAGCUCGUGUCGUGAGAUGUUGGGUUAAGUCCCGUAACGAGCGCAACCCUUGUCCUUAGUUGCCAGCGGUUCGGCCGGGAACUCUAAGGAGACUGCCGGUGAUAAACCGGAGGAAGGUGGGGAUGACGUCAAGUCAUCAUGGCCCUUAUGGGCUGGGCUACACACGUGCUACAAUGGUCGGUACAGAGGGCUGCAAAGCAGCGAUGUGGAGCCAAUCCCAGAAAACCGAUCGUAGUCCGGAUUGCAGUCUGCAACUCGACUGCACGAAGUCGGAAUCGCUAGUAAUCGCGAAUCAGCAUGUCGCGGUGAUACGUUCCCGGGCCUUGUACACACCGCCCGUCACACCAUGGGAGUUGGUUGCACCAGAAGUGGAUAGCUUAACCUUCGGGAGGGCGUUCACCAC
RNAcentral lists this ribosomal RNA (1424 nucleotides) under uncultured organism. Its description in RNAcentral is "partial 16S ribosomal RNA". It matches the Rfam family "Bacterial small subunit ribosomal RNA". The record is from RNAcentral.